GACGUAGGGUGCAAGCGUUAUCCGGAUUUACUGGGCGUAAAGGGCGCGUAGGCGGUCGAUUAAGUGAGAAGUGAAAUCUUUGGGCUCAACCCAGAAACUGCUUCUCAUACUGGUCGACUAGAGGAAUGUAGAGGUAAAUGGAAUUCCUGGUGUAGCGGUGACAUGCAUUGAUAUCAGGAGGAACACCUAAGGCGAAGGCAGUUUACUGGACAUUUCCUGACGCUGAGGCGCGAAAGCGUGGGUAGCAAACAGG
Molecule: ribosomal RNA, 253 nt
Filed under: uncultured bacterium
Lineage: Bacteria
Description: partial 16S ribosomal RNA
Rfam family: Bacterial small subunit ribosomal RNA
Source: RNAcentral